AAGUCGUAACAAGGUUCAACAAUCGGGGUAUCCUUCUCCCUACUGAAGCCUUGAAAUUUUCAGUCCGCUUAAUAAAGCGGGCAACAUUAGCCUGUUGCUGGGCGUCCUUAACUUGUCGGUUGAGAAUACCAGCAGUCGCUCCCUUGCGAUUCACAGAUCAAACGCUGAUGGUCAGCAUUGCUGAUUAUAAUAUGACCGGUCCUAUCUUGUCGAAUGGUAUGGAUACAUGUUCCGUAGGUGAACCUGCGGAAGGAUCAUUAUCGAGUAAGGGUCUUUCAGGCCCGAUCUCCAACCCUGUGUCUAACCUACCAUGUUGCUUUGGCGGGCCCGCCCUUAAGGGGCCGCUGGGGGCUUCACCGCCCCUGGUCCGUGCUCGCCAGUAGCCCUAUUAAACUCUCCUUAACUGUGUUGUCUGAGUAUAAAUUUAAAUCGUUAAAA
This 438-nucleotide unclassified non-coding RNA is filed under the name plant metagenome. RNAcentral's name for it is "partial contains small subunit ribosomal RNA and internal transcribed spacer 1". The record is from RNAcentral.